GGUGGCUCAGUGGUAAGAGUGCAUGCCUCACAUGCAUGAGACCAUGGGUUCAAUUCCUCAGCACCA
This 66-nucleotide transfer RNA is filed under the name Dipodomys ordii (Ord's kangaroo rat). It matches the Rfam family "tRNA". From Rfam's summary of the family: Transfer RNA (tRNA) molecules are approximately 80 nucleotides in length. The record is from Rfam by way of RNAcentral. Lineage: Eukaryota; Metazoa; Chordata; Mammalia; Rodentia; Heteromyidae.